CAGGCUUAACACAUGCAAGUCGAGGGGCAGCAUGGUCUUAGCUUGCUAAGGCCGAUGGCGACCGGCGCACGGGUGAGUAACACGUAUCCAACCUGCCGUCUACUCUUGGACAGCCUUCUGAAAGGAAGAUUAAUACAAGAUGGCAUCAUGAGUCCGCACGUUCACAUGAUUAAAGGUAUUCCGGUAGACGAUGGGGAUGCGUUCCAUUAGAUAGUAGGCGGGGUAACGGCCCACCUAGUCUUCGAUGGAUAGGGGUUCUGAGAGGAAGGUCCCCCACAUUGGAACUGAGACACGGUCCAAACUCCUACGGGAGGCAGCAGUGAGGAAUAUUGGUCAAUGGGCGAGAGCCUGAACCAGCCAAGUAGCGUGAAGGAUGACUGCCCUAUGGGUUGUAAACUUCUUUUAUAAAGGAAUAAAGUCGGGUAUGGAUACCCGUUUGCAUGUACUUUAUGAAUAAGGAUCGGCUAACUCCGUGCCAGCAGCCGCGGUAAUACGGAGGAUCCGAGCGUUAUCCGGAUUUAUUGGGUUUAAAGGGAGCGUAGAUGGAUGUUUAAGUCAGUUGUGAAAGUUUGCGGCUCAACCGUAAAAUUGCAGUUGAUACUGGAUAUCUUGAGUGCAGUUGAGGCAGGCGGAAUUCGUGGUGUAGCGGUGAAAUGCUUAGAUAUCACGAAGAACUCCGAUUGCGAAGGCAGCCUGCUAAGCUGCAACUGACAUUGAGGCUCGAAAGUGUGGGUAUCAAACAGGAUUAGAUACCCUGGUAGUCCACACGGUAAACGAUGAAUACUCGCUGUUUGCGAUAUACUGCAAGCGGCCAAGCGAAAGCGUUAAGUAUUCCACCUGGGGAGUACGCCGGCAACGGUGAAACUCAAAGGAAUUGACGGGGGCCCGCACAAGCGGAGGAACAUGUGGUUUAAUUCGAUGAUACGCGAGGAACCUUACCCGGGCUUAAAUUGCAGAUGAAUUACGGUGAAAGCCGUAAGCCGCAAGGCAUCUGUGAAGGUGCUGCAUGGUUGUCGUCAGCUCGUGCCGUGAGGUGUCGGCUUAAGUGCCAUAACGAGCGCAACCCUUGUUGUCAGUUACUAACAGGUUCCGCUGAGGACUCUGACAAGACUGCCAUCGUAAGAUGUGAGGAAGGUGGGGAUGACGUCAAAUCAGCACGGCCCUUACGUCCGGGGCUACACACGUGUUACAAUGGGGGGUACAGAGGGCCGCUACCACGCGAGUGGAUGCCAAUCCCCAAAACCUCUCUCAGUUCGGACUGGAGUCUGCAACCCGACUCCACGAAGCUGGAUUCGCUAGUAAUCGCGCAUCAGCCACGGCGCGGUGAAUACGUUCCCGGGCCUUGUACACACCGCCCGUCAAGCCAUGGGAGCCGGGGGUACCUGAAGUGCGUAACCGCGAGGAGCGCCCUAGGGUAAAACUGGUGACUGGGGCUA
This 1436-nucleotide ribosomal RNA is filed under the name uncultured bacterium. Its description in RNAcentral is "16S ribosomal RNA". It matches the Rfam family "Bacterial small subunit ribosomal RNA". The record is from RNAcentral.